Molecule: long non-coding RNA, 7959 nt
Filed under: Lactuca sativa (garden lettuce)
Lineage: Eukaryota; Viridiplantae; Streptophyta; Magnoliopsida; Asterales; Asteraceae
Description: long non-coding RNA (LSAT_LNC005636)
Source: RNAcentral
UCUCACAAAACUUAGUAUAAAAACAGAUUUACGUGUAAAAAUGUUUGUUUGUUCUUGUAUGUGAAAGUGACUUCUUGAAAAUAGUGUUUCUAGUAUGUAAAAGUUCGUAAUGUUCUCGUAAAACUAUACCUAUUAUAGUUUUCUAUAAGUGUGUCUCGUUUGUAUAGUAAUCCCUAGUAAAAUGUUCACUUGUUAUGAAAAGUAUAAUUUUUAUAGAGUCUAAGAUGGACACAUAUACAUACAGUAUAAGCAAAGUGUUUGAUUUAUACAUAUAUAACAACAUUUUUCAUUUCAAAAUAUAUGAUGUUAUCGUGAUAUAUUUUGCAUACGAAAGUUUCCCUAUUAUAGUUAUAAAUCACAUAUGAUUUCGUUGAUAAAAAGGUGUAUAAUGAAACUUUAUAUAACAUACGAUAAUAAUCGUGUGUUUUACUUGUAUUUGCCCCCAUAAAACCAUAUAAAAGCAAUUAUAAAACAUUUAAAAGUGUGGAUUAUAAUGAACUCACNAGUGUGGAUUAUAAGGGUAUGAACUCACUUGAAAGAUCGGAAAAGGCGAGAUGAAAACCGAACAGAAUUUCGACUCGAGAAAGCGGACUUUCUCGGGAUUCUCGGGAAUCUCGGGAGCACAAACGACCUUCGGGACUUGAGCAAGGAAACUGGGGUUUCGGGAUAGUAUGUGCACGGAAAACGAGGUAAAAAUGCAAGAAAGAUGAGAGGAAUUGGCCCUUUUCUUCGGAACCCUCGCAUCUCUUUUACAGGGGGUGGGAACCGCCUCGGUACGCCGGGUGUGCGCGUGCGUCAUGCGUGACUGCAUCCUCGACUGCUUCGGAACUUCGGAUGGGACGGGGCAUAGCCUCGCAUAGGGGCGACGUGGAUGAUCCGAGGCCUAGGCCUCGAGUACACUGGGUGUAACUCGGAUCGACCUGGUUACUCGUCCUUCGGAUAAUACCAAGAUUAAAUAAUAAAAUUUAUAUUUUAAUUAUUUAAUAAACAUCAAAAAUUCAUAUCUUCUUCAUACGAACUCCGUUUUCGACGUUCUUUAUAUCCACGCGUAGGUGAGACUACGCUCUACAACUUUCGUUUAGAUCCCGUCAGCAAAUUUUGAAAUUAUUUUUAUUAUUUAUUUUUAAAAGGUCGUGGUAAGAAAAUUUCGUUAGAAAUUCAUAACUUCAUUAUCUGACGUCUGUUUUUGCCAGACUUUUUACCGUUGUAAUACCAUUGUCGAGACCUUCGAUUCUCAAUUAGGUCAUUCCGGCCAAAAGUCGCUCGAACUCUGAUUCGAGUUUUUAGCUGUUUGUCGUUAAGCCGAACAUGGAAAAAUCAUAACUUCAUUAUACGAAGUCAGAUUUGGGCGUUCUUUUUACGUACGAUCACNAUCACGGUUUAAUGACAUUAAACAUAGUAGGAAUUUAAAUAGAAACAUUUUGGACAUUUUAUUAUCAAAGUUAAUUUUAUUAACUCAGAGGUGGUUACAAUACUUGACUUUUUAGGUCAUUACAUAGAGUUGAAAUAUCGGGUUGUCACUUCAUCCCCCCGUUAGAGGGAAUGUCGUCCCGAAAUUUAAAGUAAGAAAGAUACUUAUGAAUCAGAGAAAAAGAUGAGGGUACUUUUGUUUCAUCUGAUCUUCGCGUUCCCAUUCGAAUUCAGGUCCUCGCUUGGCGUUCCAGCGAACCUUCAUGAUGGGUAUGCGACUUUGUUUCGUUUGUUUGACCUCUCGGUCCAUGAUUUCUACCGGUUCUUCCACAAAGUUGAGGCUGUCGUUGAUCUCGAUCUUGUCGAGUGGAAUAACAAGAGUCUCAUUGGACAGAAACUUUUUCAAGUUCAAGACAUGGAAGGUUGGAUGUAUGUUACUAAGUACACGUGGUAGAUUAAACUUGUAAGCUACAGGGCAGAUUCUGGCGAGAAUCUCGAAAGGCCCUACGUAUCUUGGAUUUAGCUUUCGACGCUUUCCAAAGCGUAUUAAGCCUUUCCACGGUGAGACCUUCAAUAGAACACGGUCUCCUACCUGGAAUUCCAAAGGUUUCCUCCUUUGGUCAGCGUAGCUUUUCUGUCGGUCUCUAGAGGCUUUCAACCAUUCACGAAUCUGAAUGAUCUUCUCUGUCGUUUCCCAUAUGAUUUCUGGACCGGUGAGAGUGCUUUCAGGAACUCGUCCUUUAGCUAACUGUGUGUCUCCAACUUCAGCCCAACACAGAGGGGACCUGCACUUACGGCCAUAGAGGGCUUCAAAUGGAGCAACCUUUAUGCUCGUAUGAUAACUAUUGUUGUAUGAAAAUUAGACAAGGGGUAAAUGGAUAUCCCAUGCCUUUCCAAAGUCAAUCACACAGGCUCUCAGCAUAUCUUCUAAGGUUUGAAUCAUUCUUUCACUUUGCCCGUCUGUUUGUGGUUGGUAGGCUGUACUCAUGUCUAGCCUAGUCCCCAGGGAACUUUGUAGUGACUGCCAGAACCUUGACGAGAAUCUACUAUCUAUAUCGGAGAUAAUGGAUAUCGGAACACCAUGCAGUCGCACUAUUUCCCUUAUGUAAGUUCUUGUAAGCCUUUCCAUCUUGUCAGUCUCCUUGAUUGGUAGAAAAUGCAUAGAUUUGGUCAAGCUGUCGAUGAUGACCCAUAUGGUAUCGAGUCCACCCGUCGUCUUGGGCAACUUGGUUAUGAAGUCCAUAGUAAUCCGUUCCCAUUUCCAUUCCGGUAUCUCCGGUUGUUCUAGUAAUCCUGACGGUUUCUGAUACUCGAUCUUAACCUUAGCGCAAGUAAGGCAUUUACUUAUGAAGGUAGCAAUUUCUGCUUUCAUGUUAUGCCACCAGUACAGUUUCUUAAGAUCCAGAUACAUUUUAUCUGAACCUGGGUGAACAAAAUAUCUCGUGUUGUGUGCUUCGGCCAUGACUACGUCUCUGAAAUCACCAUGUUUUGGUGUCCAGAUACGGUCCAUGAGAUAAUAUGCUCCGCCACCCUUGAUUUCUAGAUUCUUUUCCAUUCCUCUCAGGGAUUCACCCACCACAUUUUCAGGUUGCAAAACAUCCAGUUGAGCCUCCUUAAUUUGUGUGGAUAAGUGGGAAUGGAUAGUCAUAGUCAGAGAUUUGACUCUCCGACCAGUGUAUUCUUUUCGACGGAGGGCGUCAGCUACCACAUUGGCCUUGCCAGGAUGAUAACGAAUUUCACAUUCGUUGUCAUUGAGUAGCUCGACCCAUCGUCGCUGUCGCAUGUUGAGCUCCUUUUGAUCAAAAAUGUGUUGAAGCCUCUUGUGGUCAGUGAAGAUAGUACUCUUUGUUUCGUACAAGUAGUGUCUCCAGAUCUUCAGAGCAAAUACCACUGCUCGUGACUCAAGAUCGUGUGUUGUAUAGUUUACUUCGUGUAUCUUAAGCUGACGGGAGGCAUAAGCAAUAACCUUCCCUCUUUGCAUAAGAACACAACCAAUUCCUUGGUUUGAUGCAUCACAAUACACUACGAAAUGUUCUAUCCCUUCGGGGAGGGAUAGUAUCGGUGCGGUGCACAAAGCCUGUUUCAGCGUUUGGAACGUCUUCUCUUGUUUUGCUUCCCAGUCAAAGGCCACGCCUUUCUGGGUCAAUGUAGUAAGAGGUUUCGCAAUGCUAGAGAAGUUCUUUAUGAAUCUGCGAUAAUAGCCAGCGAGACCUAGAAAUUGACGAAUCUCUGUAGGUGUCUUUGGUGCCGACCAGUUCUCAAUGGCCUUAAUUUUGGAGGGGUGCACGUGUAUCCUCUUCUCACUAACAUCGUGGCCCAAAAAUUCGACUCUUCGAAACCAAAAUUCACAUUUAGAGAACUUCACAUAGAGCUUCUCCGAUCGUAAUGUCUCUAAAACUUUUCGUAGGUGCUGACUAUGCUCUUCCUUACUUUGGGAGUAGAUAAUUAUAUCAUCGAUGAAGACGAUGACGAACUGAUCCAAGUAAGGACGGCACACCCUAUUCAUUAGGUCCAUGAAUACCGCUGGUGCGUUGGUUAAUCCGAACGGCAUCACUACAAAUUCGUAGUGUCCAUAACGGGUUCAGAAGGCUGUCUUGGGAAUAUCCUCCUCUAGUACUCGUAAUUGGUGAUAUCCGGAUCGUAGAUCUAUCUUCGAGAAGUAGUUUUCUCCUUGAAGUUGAUCAAAUAGGUCGUCAAUGCGGGGCAGAGGAUAACGAUUUUUGAGAGUAAGUUUGUUCAGUUCUCUGUAGUCAAUGCACAUACGGAACGAUCCGUCUUUCUUCUUUACAAACAAGACCGGUGCUCCCCAAGGUGAGAAACUUGGUCUAAUGAAUCCUUUUUGAUGGAGUUCGUUAAGCUGACUGGAAAGUUCUUGCAUCUCUGCUGGUGCCAGACGAUAAGGCGAUUUUGCUACUGGGGUAGCCCCUAGAACUAAGUCGAUUCUGAACUCGACUUGGCGUUGUGGUUGUAAUCCCGAUAGUUCUUCUGGAAAGAUAUCAGGAAAGUUGCGUACUUCUGGAAUGCUCUUAAUGUCCUUUACUUCCUGACUUGUAUCGACGAUGUGUGCAAGAAAUGCAUGAAAAUCCUUCCGCAAACACUUUCGAGCUUGGAUGCACAAAUUGAUGCGAAGGUUUGUACUUGAUUGUCGCCGUAAAUCACUAAUGUUUUGUCGUUAGGGAGAUUCAGACGAACUGCUUUCUCAAAGCCCAAGAUGUCGGCGCAAAGAAGACUUAACCAAUCCAUGCCGACUAUGAUGUCGAAACUUUUAAUUUGGACCAGCAUGAGGUUGAUUGGGAAAGAAUGACCGUCUAAAGUUAAUGUACAACCCAUGUAUAUGCAGUUAGUGUUUUCCGUUUUUCCGUUUGCCAUUUCUAUAGUGAAUGAUUUUUCUAACUUGCUAGGUUUAUGUUUAAGUAAGUGAAUAAAGUUUUGACUCACAAAGCUUCUCUCUGCUCCACUAUCGAACAGUAUGCAUGCAUAUGAAUUAUCGAGAAGAAACGUACCAGCAACUACUGUAGGAUCAGCUACGGCUUCUUUGUGGCCUAUAGCCAACACUCGUCCCACCCCGCCGGUAUUCGCUGCCUUAGGGCAGUUUCUCUUGUAGUGGCCCACCUCGCCACAACCGUAGCAAGCUUGGCCUACACCAGCGUUGGGAACUUGAGUGCUCGGCUUUACGGGGGCUCUGCAGAAACGGACAGUGUGUCCCUUUCUGUUGCAGUUGGAGCACUGCAUUUCCCGACAAGGUCCAUUGUGGUGGUAAGUGCAUUUGGUGCACUUUGGAAAGUUACCCGCAUAAGGCUUUGUUGGGUAUGGAUUUGUAGGAACGGUAGUAGGUACAGUAGCAACAUUCACUGUAACUAGUUGUUGUUUCUUCGAGGAUUCUUGGGAAGACCCACCCUUCCCUUUAUUCCAUCCUCUCUUCCUGUUAUUGUUGUUGUUGUUUCCCUUUUGUGGUUCUGGUGUAGAAAUUGUCGAGUUCUGAUGACUUCCGUGAUCAAUAAGAGAUUGUGCCAGCUCUUUGGCACUUUCAAAAGUGUCAGGUUUUGAAGCUAACACGCUCGACUGAAUUUGGGGCGACAGUCCCCAAAUGUAUCUCUCUAUUUUCUUGCUCUCAGGAGCAAUCAUAUCUGGGCAAAGGAUUGCCAGAUCGCAGAAUCUGUUGGUAUAAGUUGCUAUGUCGGUACCAAUCAUUCCAAGAGUCCAGAGUUCGUGCUCGAGUUUUUGAAUCUCUCCUCGUGGACAAUACUCUCUCAUCAGCAUGAUUUUUAAGCUCUCCCAGCUUAUUGAAUUCGCCACUAUCAGAGUAAGUACCUUAACGUGGCCAUUCCACCAAGUUAAAGCUCUAUCGGUAAGCAUGUAGGUUGCAAACUUGACUUUGCUGUGCUCGGGACAGGAGCAGAUUUCAAAGACUGAUUCUGUCCUUUCGAUCCACUGCCUCAGAAUCAUCACACCACCAGUUCCAUUAAACAUCCGGGGUUUGGCGUUCGUAAAGUCCUUAUAGGUGCAUUCUCGGGGUUGCCCAUGACUCUCGCCAUGGUUGGAAGGAAGUGUGCCAGUUCUCGAGCCAGUAGUAACAGGGGUAUUGAUCUGUGACAUGGCAGCCGCUACAGCUGCGAUGACUGCUGCUUGGAACAUGGCAGCAUCAAAUUGAGGAGGUGGAGGCGGUGGUGGUAUAGGUGCUUCCCCACCGUUGUUUCGUCUCGGGUUUCUACGCGUAGGCAUCCUUCAACUAUAGGCUGAAAAGAUAAAGAUAAGAAUUCCAUAGCAUAGAAAAUGAAUAUGUCUCAUGAACUAAAUCGCUAUAGUUCAACAACAGAUGAUAGUAUGAGUCUCAAAGAUAGAAGAAUGAAAGUUAUUCGUAAGACCAAAUAUAUGAAAAAAGCAUAUGGUUUCUCCAUAUGAUUUUAAGGAUUGAACGUAAUACUCAACGUAGUAAUAUCAGUUGCCACUUAUNACAACGAUCACGGAAAUUUGACCCCUAUAAGGGUCUCCGGUUACAAAGUUUAAGAAAAUAAAAACUUUUAACCGAGGUCCUAACUUAUAACAAAAUUUGGGAUUUUGGCAAGCACUACUUGUGACGUAGGUUGCGCUUGGAGCUUGACUCCGCAUCCGAUUGUUGUUCCCUCAAUUCGGUGAGGGGUGCAAUCAUUUGCGCUUGGAAUGCCUCGGUUUGGAGUUGGGUAUUGUCCUAAGCUCUGUCCAGCCUACGGAUGUCGGAAGUGUGAACCUGUACUUCCACGUUGACUUCCCGAAUCCGGCUAGCUUGAACUCCGGAUUGGUAGGACUGGUUGGCUAGCUUGCCUACCAUAAUUGGGAGUGCUUGAUCGGCUGAACCUCCACUGCAGACAUCGUAGAAGUCUUGGCCCAUGCCGUAGGGAGGGCGUAGACUUUGUUGUUGGCUCCAAUGGUGGAGGUGACUUCCCCAAACGGGAGUCGGUCCUUGAAAGUUUCUCACGAAGACUGGAGGCUGUGCGGGUGGUGGGUUGAUCACUUCAGGCUCUGAGUCGGUACCGGAGUCAUCCUCUUCAUCCAAUUCUAUGAGUUCUUCGUCCUCCUCGGGAUCCUCUUUGAUCCAUCCCCCGUUGCCCUGGUUGGGAUAGUAGGGGUCGCCGGGGUGAUGAAAUCCAGCCAUUUGAGUGUAUGAGAAUAGGGUUAUAAGAAUUGAAUAAAAUUUGGAACAUGUAAGACUAAACAUGUAAGUUAAGCUAUUUUAUGUAGCAAAUACUCCUAUAGUAUUUAAAUUCGUGUGUUUGAUCCUUGUGAUGCUUUGGUAAAUUUUGACUUGUUGCUCACUACGAGCAUUCCUCGAUAUACAUUGGUCCGAUCUUGGGUAAAUUUUGACUUGUCUAAAUACUUGUUGUAUAGCUAUAAUCAUGAAAAUAAGUUGUUGUAUGCAUGUAUUUGUACUUAAAUGAACUAAUAAUUUAAGUUAAACGAAACGCGGCUUAGGCGUAAAAUAAAAAAAAUGUUUUGUCAAAGAGUAUUAGUCCCUUAAGAAUUUAUAGUUUAUAUAUCUUAUUUGGUUCGAUAUACUUAGUUCACUAUAAACAUUGCUCUGAUACCAAUCUGUCACACCCCCAAACAGGAACAACGGAAAGGUUCGGGGGCGGAUGACUUCAUGUGGUUACGUAAAAAAUGAAUACAUAGUAAAGAAAGCAAUACAACCAUCAUAUAUAUAAUUGAAAGUUUACAUUAUUAAAAGGUACAUGUUCAAACCAAUUACAAUAUGAUGCCAAAAUAUGAAUUUAAACUGGCGCCGCAGCGUCCCUUCUUCAAAAGCUGUGUGUACUCGAACGUACGUGAAGUUAAUGUCUCACAAAACUUAGUAUAAAAACAGAUUUACGUGUAAAAAUGUUCGUUUGUUCUUGUAUGUGAAAGUGACUUCUUGAAAAUAGUGUUUCUAGUAUGUAAAAGAUCGUAAUGUUCUCGUAAAACUAUACCUAUUAUAGUUUUCUAUAAGUGCGUCUCGUUUGUAUAGUAAUCCCUAGUAAAAUGCUCACUUGUUAUGAAAAGUAUAAUUUUUAUAGUGUCUAAGAUGGACACAUAUAC